Molecule: ribosomal RNA, 456 nt
Filed under: uncultured bacterium
Lineage: Bacteria
Description: bacterial SSU rRNA
Rfam family: Bacterial small subunit ribosomal RNA
Source: RNAcentral
GCACAAGCGGUGGAGCAUGUGGUUUAAUUCGACGCAACGCGAAGAACCUUACCUGGGCUCGAAAUGUAGUGGAAUCCGGCAGAAACGUCGGCGUCUAGCAAUAGACUGCUAUAUAGGUGCUGCAUGGCUGUCGUCAGCUCGUGUCGUGAGAUGUUGGGUUAAGUCCCGCAACGAGCGCAACCCUUAUCUUCAGUUGCUACCAUUUAGUUGAGCACUCUGACGAAACCGCCUCGGAUAACGGGGAGGAAGGUGGGGAUGACGUCAAGUCCUCAUGGCCUUUAUGUCCAGGGCUACACACGUGCUACAAUGGCCGGUACAAACCGCUGCAAACCCGCGAGGGGGAGCUAAUCGGAAAAAGCCGGCCUCAGUUCGGAUUGGAGUCUGCAACUCGACUCCAUGAAGCUGGAAUCGCUAGUAAUCGUGGAUCAGCAUGCCACGGUGAAUACGUUCCCGGGC